CAGGCUAUUUCUAUUAGUUGAGAUUUCAUUUACGCUGAAUUUUUUGUCGUGCGAUUCGGCAUGGUCUGA
RNAcentral lists this transfer RNA (69 nucleotides) under Coptotermes lacteus (milk termite). RNAcentral describes it as "tRNA-Val". Lineage: Eukaryota; Metazoa; Arthropoda; Insecta; Blattodea; Rhinotermitidae. The record is from RNAcentral.